This 426-nucleotide ribosomal RNA is filed under the name uncultured bacterium. RNAcentral describes it as "bacterial SSU rRNA". It matches the Rfam family "Bacterial small subunit ribosomal RNA", at positions 355 to 773 of the family's 1533-position model. The record is from RNAcentral.
UGGGGAAUUUUGGACAAUGGGGGCAACCCUGAUCCAGCCAUGCCGCGUGCGGGAAGAAGGCCUUCGGGUUGUAAACCGCUUUUAGCCGGGAAAAAAAGGCAACUCCUAAUAAGGGUUGUUCUUGACGGUACCGGCGGAAUAAGCACCGGCUAACUACGUGCCAGCAGCCGCGGUAAUACGUAGGGUGCGAGCGUUAAUCGGAAUUACUGGGCGUAAAGCGUGCGCAGGCGGUUCGUUAAGUUCGAUGUGAAAGCCCCGGGCUCAACCUGGGAGGUGCAUUGGAAACUGGCGAGCUUGAGUGUGGCAGAGGGGGGUGGAAUUCCGCGUGUAGCAGUGAAAUGCGUAGAGAUGCGGAGGAACACCGAUGGCGAAGGCAGCCCCCUGGGCCAACACUGACGCUCAGGCACGAAAGCGUGGGGAGCAAAC